AGGGUGUAGCCUACAGCAGAAAUAUUCCGAAGAAUUCUAUCCUUUUCCAAGAGUGUUUGCCGACUAAAGAAAACAAAGUCAGGACUUGUGUCCGUAAAAAUUUAACCACGGAAAGUGGUUGUCGCUGCCAAGGACGUGUUAUAUACUAUCGUGUGUGUGCGUGUACCUAGUAGUAGCGUUACGCACACACAAUGUGCAUUCAGCGGUCACGUGCUGCAAUAUUUAUAUUCACCAACUAAACAGAAAUAAAUUCAACAGAAAUCGAAC
Melanaphis sacchari is the source of this 267-nucleotide long non-coding RNA. RefSeq lists it as uncharacterized. The record is from RefSeq and is a predicted model, not a curated record. Lineage: Eukaryota; Metazoa; Arthropoda; Insecta; Hemiptera; Aphididae. The transcript is spliced from 3 exons.